CUUAUAAAUACGAGUUGUAUAGUUAGAAUCAUUUUAUUUCUUUAUAUUAUCAGCUGUUAUUCUUAAUAAUUUAAGUAACAUAUGCUCAUCAAAAUUAAGUUUCCAAAUCGUCGACAAUUUUAGAAGGUGGUUUGUUCUUAAGUCUUCACAACUUCCCAUUGAAUACCUUUGGUCAAUUCUCUAGGAGCUGCUACAAGCAACUUCCCACAGAACCAUAGACGACUUCUUAAACUCCCCUAACCUGCAGGACUCGUUUCGUGUUUUGAAAACUUCAUUUCCUUAAACCAGUAGUGUAAUAAUGUCAAAUUAUGCAUUUUAAUAUAUUUUUAUUAAUGAAAAUAAUAAGUAAUUACUAAAACACAUAUAGCAUUUUGAUGCAUAUCUGUGUAUUACAUCUCAUCACGUAACUCACUCUUUCAAGAAAUAAAGGGGAUCUUGCAAGAAAGCAUGUUUAUUAAAGGGGUGUGGAUGACAAAAGUUUGAGAAAUGUUGCCUCAACCCAAUUUUAGGAUGCAAGUUUAAAUUAUUAUAAAUUAAAAAAUUGAGUGAAUUGUUUUAAACUUUCCAAAUUACACUUGCAUCACAUUAUUCUGCAUAGAAAUGUAAGCAGAUUGAGAUAUAUUCAUAAUUUCAUUAACCACUGUACGUUUAGAUUUUGUUUUAAUUUGCAUAAUCGACUUAGCAUCACUGUUUUGUGCUCAGUUUCCUGUUUGCUGUAUUAGAUGCUUACUACAAAAUUAAAUUUGUUUAUCAGA
Molecule: unclassified non-coding RNA, 755 nt
Filed under: Limulus polyphemus (Atlantic horseshoe crab)
Lineage: Eukaryota; Metazoa; Arthropoda; Merostomata; Xiphosura; Limulidae
Description: uncharacterized LOC111086696, transcript variant X1
Source: RNAcentral